UACCAGCACCCCGAGUGGUCGGGACGAUUAUUGGGCCUAAAGCAUCCGUAGCCGGUCCUACAAGUCUUCCGUUAAAUCCACCUGCUUAACAGAUGGGCUGCGGAAGAUACUAUAGGGCUAGGAGGCGGGAGAGGCAAGCGGUACUCAGUGGGUAGGGGUAAAAUCCUCUGAUCCACUUAAGACCACCAGUGGCGAAGGCGGCUUGCCAGAACGCGCUCGACGGUGAGGGAUGAAAGCUGGGGGAGCAAACCGG
This 253-nucleotide ribosomal RNA is filed under the name uncultured bacterium. RNAcentral's name for it is "partial 16S ribosomal RNA". It matches the Rfam family "Archaeal small subunit ribosomal RNA", at positions 474 to 727 of the family's 1478-position model. The record is from RNAcentral.